GACGAACGCUGGCGGCGUGCCUAAUACAUGCAAGUAGAACGCUGAAGAGAGGAGCUUGCUCUUCUUGGAUGAGUUGCGAACGGGUGAGUAACGCGUAGGUAACCUGCCUUGUAGCGGGGGAUAACUAUUGGAAACGAUAGCUAAUACCGCAUAACAAUGGAUGACACAUGUCAUUUAUUUGAAAGGGGCAAUUGCUCCACUACAAGAUGGACCUGCGUUGUAUUAGCUAGUAGGUGAGGUAAUGGCUCACCUAGGCGACGAUACAUAGCCGACCUGAGAGGGUGAUCGGCCACACUGGGACUGGGACACGGCCCAGACUCCUACGGGAGGCAGCAGUAGGGGAUCUUCGGCAAUGGGGGCAACCCUGACCGAGCAACGCCGCGUGAGUGAAGAAGGUUGUCGGAUCGUAAAGCUCUGUUGUAAGUCAAGAACGGGUGUGAGAGUGGAAAGUUCACACUGUGACGGUAGCUUACCAGAAAGGGACGGCUAACUACGUG
Molecule: ribosomal RNA, 497 nt
Filed under: uncultured bacterium
Lineage: Bacteria
Description: partial 16S ribosomal RNA
Rfam family: Bacterial small subunit ribosomal RNA
Source: RNAcentral